RNAcentral lists this ribosomal RNA (254 nucleotides) under uncultured bacterium. Its description in RNAcentral is "partial 16S ribosomal RNA". It matches the Rfam family "Bacterial small subunit ribosomal RNA", at positions 524 to 776 of the family's 1533-position model. The record is from RNAcentral.
UACGUAGGAGGCGAGCGUUGUCCGGAGUUACUGGGCGUAAAGGGUGCGCAGGCGGCGGUGCGCGUGGCGAGAUGAAAUCUCCUGGCUUACCUGGGAGGGUGGUCGCCAGACGGCAUCGCUUGAGGGUCGGAGAGGGGCGUGGAAUUCCGGGUGGAGCGGUGAAAUGCGUAGAGAUCAGGAGGAACACCUGUGGCGAAAGCGGCGCACUGGACCACAACUGACGCUGAGGCGCGAAAGCUAGGGGAGCAAACAGG